Molecule: ribosomal RNA, 267 nt
Filed under: Triticum aestivum (bread wheat)
Lineage: Eukaryota; Viridiplantae; Streptophyta; Magnoliopsida; Poales; Poaceae
Description: partial small subunit ribosomal RNA
Source: RNAcentral
AUGAAGGAGACGGCGGAGGAUCUACUCGCUCGUCUCACCUUGCAGGAAGAAGAAGAGGACGACUUUGUCUGGGAGGAAGAACUACCAGAUCAGAUGGAGCCGGCGAAGUGGCUGGCAAUCGCGAGGGUGCAUACGCCAAAAACGUUCAGCCCUAAUGCACUGUACGGUGACAUGAGAGCGGCCUGGAAUCCGGCCAAAACGGUUGUAUGGAGGAGGAUCAAGGAGAAUCUGCUUACGGCACAAUUUGGCUGUCUUGCUGAUUGGAAA